Molecule: microRNA, 24 nt
Filed under: Sus scrofa (pig)
Lineage: Eukaryota; Metazoa; Chordata; Mammalia; Artiodactyla; Suidae
Description: ssc-mir248
Source: RNAcentral
CCAGCCGGUGUUCAUGCCCCAUAG